RNAcentral lists this non-coding RNA (305 nucleotides) under Alkalithermobacter paradoxus. RNAcentral describes it as "Clostridium thermoalcaliphilum Bacterial small subunit ribosomal RNA". It matches the Rfam family "Bacterial small subunit ribosomal RNA", at positions 1 to 303 of the family's 1533-position model. The record is from Rfam by way of RNAcentral. Lineage: Bacteria; Bacillati; Bacillota; Clostridia; Peptostreptococcales; Tepidibacteraceae.
AUUUUUGAGAGUUUGAUCCUGGCUCAGGAUGAACGCUGGCGGCGUGCCUAACACAUGCAAGUCGAGCGGAGAAAAAUUAGCUUGCUAAUUUUUCUCAGCGGCGGACGGGUGAGUAACGCGUGGGUAACCUGCCCUGUACACUUGGAUAACACACCGAAAGGUGUGCUAAUACAAGAUAAUAUCAAAGGAAGGCAUCUUCUUUUGAUCAAAGCUUUUGCGGUACAGGAUGGACCCGCGUCCCAUUAGCUAGUUGGUGGGGUAAUGGCCUACCAAGGCGACGAUGGGUAGCCGACCUGAGAGGGUGA